RNAcentral lists this ribosomal RNA (279 nucleotides) under uncultured bacterium. RNAcentral describes it as "partial 16S ribosomal RNA". It matches the Rfam family "Bacterial small subunit ribosomal RNA", at positions 506 to 784 of the family's 1533-position model. The record is from RNAcentral.
UGCCAGCCGCCGCGGUAAGACAGAGGGUGCAAGCGUUGUUCGGAAUUACUGGGCGUAAAGGGCGUGUAGGCGGUUUAGUCUGUUCGGUGUGAAAUACCCGAGCUCAACUUGGGAACUGCAUUGAAUACUGCUAAACUAGAGUACUGGAGAGGAAAGUGGAAUUCCUGGUGUAGAGGUGAAAUUCGUAGAUACCAGGAGGAACAUCAGAGGCGAAGGCGACUUUCUGGACAAUUACUGACGCUGAGGCGCGAAAGCGUGGGGAGCAAACAGGAUUAGAUA